Molecule: long non-coding RNA, 1985 nt
Organism: Crotalus tigris (Tiger rattlesnake)
Lineage: Eukaryota; Metazoa; Chordata; Lepidosauria; Squamata; Viperidae
Exons: 2
Source: RefSeq, a predicted model, not a curated record
UACUACAGCUGGCGCCCUCAGCAGGGACAUUUUGUUUUGGGACCCCUACGGGAAGAAGCAGUUGCCAACAUACUUACCAUCGUCUGGAACAGACCCCUAAGUGCACUUUCGUCUUACAAGACCCCUCAGUGAUACAGGUCCAGGCUGCCCUACCACCUGUCUCUGAUCAUUGUUGUUCCUGGAGAGUGGAUUCAGGUGAAAAGAACUGUCACCUAGAAAUACCAGUCCUGAGUGGUCCCAACCAUGCCAAGUCCUCCUGAUUUAAGGAAUCAAGGCAUGAGUCCAUGGAAAGUCCCAUCAUUCCCUCUCCAGUGACAAGCUCUGCAGCUGGAUGGCCUGAAAAUGAAAUUUCAACCUGCCUCAUCUGUUGAACUGUUUCCAUCUAAGUAGGAGAAAAAACCUCAAUGGAUUGGACUACCCUGGAAAUCAUGUUCUUGGAACCUGGACUAUGUAUUGCAAUAUUUUUAUUCUGCUACUGUUGUUUCCCUUGUACCUUCUUUGGUAGAAGGAAGGACUAUGGGCUCAAUACUUUAAAGAACAAAAGGGAGUUGUGUUUAUAACAAGACUAUGUAUUUCACUUGUAAAGGGGCAAUAGGGUCAGUUGUUAUGCUCCUGUCAAUACAGUAAAGCUUUACCAAUAACUUCAAAUCUGGACAUAUGGAGGGACAUAUAGACAUUACCUUUUGGGGAAAAAUAACACAAGACUUAUGGACAAGUGCCAGAAUUUUCUUUGCUGCAUGUAAAACUAUUGACUAUAAUCAAGCUAAAUGGACUAAGUGUGGAGACAGGCCUACUCAUUUAACAUCAAAUAUGUUUGUACACCCUAUCCAACCUGGCACAAUCAAAGGAUUCCUGCAACCUGGUGUGCUUUGAGAUAACCAGACCAACAGAUUUCUCAGCAUCAUUUGGACUAGCUACAAAUAUAGGUUCAAGUUGAUUUUCAUGAACUGGAAAUCACAAUUGAAAUUCCCUCAGUAUCAAAGAAUCUUUUUAUUGAUCUGGCCCAAAAGAAUUGUUUCAUUUUUAAAUGUGAAGCUCAAGAGAUUCAAUUGGAGAACAUCACUUCUCAUUUUAAAUUUGACCUGGAAAGAAAAGGACCAACCAAAUGGUCCUUUUCAUUGUGGCCCUAAAUUGCAUUAUUAGGCCCCAGUCCAACAUUACAUAUAAGGAAUAUGUCAAAGAAAUCACUGGCAGAAUGCGAAUGUUGCCUCAUGUCCCUGUCCAAACAUGGACAGGAGCAUUGGAUGUUGGAGGAUGGUGUUCGGGAAUAUCUGAUAUUUGGAAAAGGAUAUUGUUCAUUAUGGUUUUGGUCUUGGGAGGGUUGUUGUUUUUACCAUGCCUUAUCCCGCUUGUUCAGAGAAUUGUUAGAUCCACUAUAUCUGGACUAACUUUUGUUGCCACUCCUAUCUAUAAUGAUAAACCAGCUAAAGAACUGAUUUUAAUACCUUUAUCUUCUGACUACACUCCUCUCUUCAAGAGUCCCUAAGCCUAUUUAGCUUUUAUAUUAAAAAAGGGAGGAUUGAAGGGAUUUUAUUAUGCUUUUGAUUUUAUUAUGCUUAAGCUUGAUAUUAGUAAUGUUGAUAUUAGUAGUGAUACUUUGUAAUCAUUUUAUAUAUAUCUUUGUUUAUGUGCAAGCAGCUUUGUAGGUGUCUUAUAUUGGGAAAUUAGUUAUAUAAAAGCAAAUGUUUCAUGCUCUAGGUACAGGUGAUUGCUUACAUGAAAGGAACAAGGUGAAAUUCAAUGGUUCAGGAAAUAGGGAGGGGGAGCUAGCCUGGAUUGAUGUGUAUGAGUCACCAUCUUGGAAUUUGUUUUUCUGUACCUUUUUACUCCUAGUAUGGAGACUCAAGUCUCUUUGUUCUGAAGGGGUAUAAAAAGUGAAAGAAAUCUUUUCUGUGUGUGCCUUCAUCCCUUUUAAGCAGCCACGAAAGAGGAGGAGUAAACCCAACUCUGUUUUGAUCAAAAUAAAAGUUGUUUGCUUGCUGAAA